RNAcentral lists this unclassified non-coding RNA (325 nucleotides) under Senecio australis. RNAcentral describes it as "partial contains external transcribed spacer and 18S ribosomal RNA". Lineage: Eukaryota; Viridiplantae; Streptophyta; Magnoliopsida; Asterales; Asteraceae. The record is from RNAcentral.
CAACUUCCACCUGGCUUACCUCCNUCAGUUAUGCGUCAUGACUUGUAUCGUCUUGAGCGUAUUGUGGGUUUCCUGUGUUGCAUACCUUUCUAAUGGUAUCGUGCUGAUUGAUCGAAGUCCCUUUUCAUCUUGUGUUGCUUUUUGUGACGCAUGAUGAACAUCGAGGCGGUCUCUAUGUUCCACCACGUUGAUGCUCCUGUUUCAAUGUUGUGGCCCAUUGAGUGUUGCUUGGUUUCGUGGAUACAGAACAUGAUUUGGGCAUAGGGUUACUUGUGACUCUUGUUCUGUCCUUUAUCAGUGUUCUUUAUAACGACGGUUCAUGCGC